This 1495-nucleotide ribosomal RNA is filed under the name Enterococcus faecium. Its description in RNAcentral is "partial 23S ribosomal RNA". It matches the Rfam family "Bacterial large subunit ribosomal RNA", at positions 1 to 1499 of the family's 2925-position model. The record is from RNAcentral. Lineage: Bacteria; Bacillati; Bacillota; Bacilli; Lactobacillales; Enterococcaceae.
GGUUAAGUGAAUAAGGGCGCACGGUGGAUGCCUUGGCACUAGGAGCCGAUGAAGGACGGGACUAACACCGAUAUGCUUUGGGGAGCUGUACGUAAGCUAUGAUCCAGAGAUUUCCGAAUGGGGGAACCCAACAUCUUUAAUAGGAUGUUACGAUUGUGUGAAUACAUAGCACAUUCGAGGUAGACGCAGAGAACUGAAACAUCUAAGUACCUGCAGGAAGAGAAAGAAAAUUCGAUUCCCUGAGUAGCGGCGAGCGAAACGGGAAAAGCCCAAACCAGCAAGCUUGCUUGUUGGGGUUGUAGGACUCCAAUAUGGUAGUUCUUUCAGAUAGUCGAAUGACUUGGAAAAGUCAGUCAAAGAGGGUAAAAACCCCGUAGACGAAAUGUGGAAGACACCUAGGAGGAUCCUGAGUACGGCGGAACACGAGAAAUUCCGUCGGAAUCCGGGAGGACCAUCUCCCAAGGCUAAAUACUCCCUAGUGACCGAUAGUGAACCAGUACCGUGAGGGAAAGGUGAAAAGCACCCCGGAAGGGGAGUGAAAUAGAACCUGAAACCGUGUGCCUACAACAAGUCAAAGCCCGUUAAUGGGUGAUGGCGUGCCUUUUGUAGAAUGAACCGGCGAGUUACGAUUGCAUGCGAGGUUAAGUUGAAGAGACGGAGCCGCAGCGAAAGCGAGUCUGAAUAGGGCGUUUGAGUAUGUAGUCGUAGACCCGAAACCAUGUGAUCUACCCAUGUCCAGGUUGAAGGUGCGGUAAAACGCACUGGAGGACCGAACCCACGUACGUUGAAAAGUGCGGGGAUGAGGUGUGGGUAGCGGAGAAAUUCCAAACGAACUUGGAGAUAGCUGGUUCUCUCCGAAAUAGCUUUAGGGCUAGCCUCGGAAUUGAGAAUGAUGGAGGUAGAGCACUGUUUGGACUAGGGGCCCAUCUCGGGUUACCGAAUUCAGAUAAACUCCGAAUGCCAUUCAUUCAUAUCCGGGAGUCAGACUGUGAGUGAUAAGAUCCAUAGUCGAAAGGGAAACAGCCCAGACCACCAGCUAAGGUCCCAAAAUAUAUGUUAAGUGGAAAAGGAUGUGGGGUUGCACAGACAACUAGGAUGUUGGCUUAGAAGCAGCCACCAUUUAAAGAGUGCGUAAUAGCUCACUAGUCGAGUGACCCUGCGCCGAAAAUGUACCGGGGCUAAACAUAUUACCGAAGCUGUGGAGUACACCUUUAGGUGUAUUGGUAGGAGAGCGUUCUAAGGGCGUUGAAGGCAGAUCGUGAGGACUGCUGGAGCGCUUAGAAGUGAGAAUGCCGGUAUGAGUAGCGAAAGACAGGUGAGAAUCCUGUCCACCGAAUGACUAAGGUUUCCUGGGGAAGGCUCGUCCGCCCAGGGUUAGUCGGGACCUAAGCCGAGGCCGACAGGCGUAGGCGAUGGAUAACAGGUUGAUAUUCCUGUACCCGUUGUUUUUGUUUGAGCAAUGGAGGGACGCAGGAGGCUAAGGAAUGCAGACGAU